RNAcentral lists this long non-coding RNA (5629 nucleotides) under Sus scrofa (pig). RNAcentral's name for it is "lncRNA (ENSSSCG00060027575.1)". Lineage: Eukaryota; Metazoa; Chordata; Mammalia; Artiodactyla; Suidae. The record is from RNAcentral.
UUUUCAAUUUCUUUUCAAGUUUUCUGUUUCUUUCCUAUUUCUAGUUCUAACUAAGAAUCAGUUUCAACAUUUUAUGUUUUUUUUUUCAGAAAUGUAGCCAUAUCAAUUCACUUCAAAUUUAUGUGAUUGUUCAUAACAUUUGCUUUAGAUUUUUUAAUUCUUUAUACAUAUGUAUAUAAUUAUUUACAUUUUGUUUCCUAUAUUUUGUUUUUCUUUCUUCUACAUUUUCUCAGUAAGCUUUUCCAUAAGUUUAUCUAGCUCACAAAUCUUUCCAAAGAUACAAAUUUCAGCUCUCAUAAUCAAAUGUAUGAUAAUGAGAUGAAAUACAUUCAUAAGAAACAAUUAAAAACCUAAAAUGCCUAUGAAUAAUUAUUUUAGAAAUGUAUGAGUCAUAAAAGAAAUUAUGUCUUCAUAGCUAUAGAAAUUAAAUAUAGCCCAGUUUUUUCAUUGAAAGAUUAAUAUUAUAAAAACACCAUUCUUCUGAAAUAAUAAGAAUGCCAAGAUUUUUUUUAGAGAAGUUUAAUGCCUAGAAAAAUGAUUUUGAAUUUUAUCUGGAAGAAUAAUCAGAAAAAAAUAGCAAAGACCAUUUUUUAAGGAAGUAGGAAAUCACACAAAGCAGUUACUAAAAUUUGUUAUGAGACUAUAAUAAUUUUUAAAAUGCAAUGCCAGCAUGAGAAUAGGCAAGUCAACCUAUUUUUAAACAAUAUUUUCAAGAUAUCCAUGAAAACAACAGAGAUAUUAGCACUUACUGAAUGCCCAUGGUUUCUCCAGUUUCUCAACGACCUUGUACAGUAGAGCCAUAUGACUAGUUCCAGCCAAUGAAUAAGAAGCAACAGGAGUCAAGGCAUCUGAGGGUGGGUGAGAGUUCUCCACUUACUCUCACCCCUUGCUCUGCCAUGAGGAGUAUACAAAUUCAGAAGGAAGCACCCAAAAAUGUAAACAGGCUGAAUCAACCAUCACGUGGUGGAUAAAAGAUGAAGCUUCCCUAGAGAGUCAUCCAAUUCUCACUGAAUGCUGUGUGCACUAGAAAGAAAUCUUGGUUGUGUUUAUCUACUGAGAUUUGGGGGUUUAUUUGUUACCACAGCAUACAGAGCCUAUCCUGACUGAUAAAAUAAACAUGAAAUAAUGUUGGUGUCUUUCAGUUUUAAAAAACCUAUGUGAGUUGAGUACUAUGAAACAGUAAAGAGGGCAAUUAUGAACAACCUACUGAAACCUUGGAAAUAGGAGAAAUGAGGUUGCCUUUGAAAACUAGCCUAAAGAAUUAACACUGAAAGGAUCUGAGAAAAGACUCCCAAGUCAGAGAUACAAGAUUUUUUAUUCAUGGAAACUGAGCUUUAUGACUGAGUCUCUCCCCUGACCCUCAGAUCCCAUGAGGAUGAUGCAGAGCAGGUUAGGUGGAUACCGCAUACACAGUGGAUCAGUGUCACAGCUGAGGAAGACUCAGUUUAGGUAACCCAAAAAUUCUACAGUGGGCAUUAAGCAAACCUUCCUCAUCUGUGCUCUGGCUGGAGACAUUAUCUUUAUUAUAAAAAAAAUAAGCACAUCUUAGUCUGUUAGAAAGACAUUAUCAUUACCUUUCAAAGACAUUCUCUAUACAUACAUCCUUGAAAAUUUAGUCAUGUAGUGUCUUUGCUCAAAAGAUUCGCAGACAAAGGACAGCUCAUAAGGAAUUGUCUCCCAAUAGUCAUAAAAGUAAAUAACCAAUUCAAUAAGUCUAUCAAACCUAGAUUGUGUGGGUCUGGAAUAAUGUACUCAGCUCUAUCCCCAAUUUAUUUAUAAAGAAAAUGUGAAUGUUUCAUCUCUAUGAAGAAAUGCUGUGGAAUUUGGUCACCUUUCUUUCAGCCAACUUCUGAAAAAAUGGGAUUAUGGAAGAGAAGGAUAAAUUAAGUUCAAAUUUAAGCUUUCUCACCAUGCAAAAUGCCAUUUUGAUAGAUUUAUUUUAUUAUCCCCUAUCUCUAAAGAUUCUCGUAUUUCAAAGAUAUAUCAACAGUUUUGCAAAAUUUUUAUGUGCAGCAUUUUCUUCUUUCCCUAGGAUAAGAUUUCUCUUCAUUUGAUUUAACUGGGGAAAGGAAGUCUUUCUUUUUUUUCCAUACUCAUAAAAUUAUAAGAGUGAGACUACACACAAACUCCAGGCAAUGGCAAAGUGAGUUAUCGAGUCCCUGGCAAAAUCAUUAAAUGAGAACACCAGCUGUCAGACUGGACUCAGCAAACACCUAUGCAUUCAGUAAGAACUUGGCAAACCACUCAAAGCACGAUGCCUGGGUAGAACCAGAAGCUUGUUAGGCAGACUCAAGUACAAUGGAAUUAAUGGAGGAAGGGUCUAUGUAAAGAAAUGUAUGUAUAAUCUACGAUAAUGGAAACUCUGAGGAUCAGAUAGUUGCAUGAUACUCUAACUUGUCAUCAUUUCAGAGUAUUAAAGGUUUUACAACUAUCUAGGGAAUCAAGUCUCAGCCAUCACGCAGUCUAUGGUGUUACAUAGUUCUGAAGAUCACUGUAAUUUAGGCAUAUUACUUCUCAAGAGAAAUAUUUUUACUUUUUAAAAGGCUUGUUUUAAAGUUUAUAAGUACUUUUAAAGUUUUAUAAGUAUUUAAAAAUACUACAUUUUUAUUUAUACAUAUUUUAUAAGUAUUUUAAAACCUCUUUGCUUUAGUCUUGUAGAAAUAAAAGUUAUCACAGUUAUAUGGAAAACUAACAAUAAAACAGGAAUUUAUAAAGAUGAAUGAGGCUCAGAAAGACUAGUUUUGCUAUUGCUUAGGACCUUCUGCAAUUCCAACACCAAUUCAAAACGUGCAGAAAAUCCCAUAACUAGUGAGAGUAGCCUAAAUGCCUGAACCACAUGUCUAAAUAUAAAGCCGUUUUAUAUUUUCUUUCUGAAGCUUAAAUGGUACAGUAUGGUUUGUUCUAGAAGCCAUUUACCAAAAAUUUUGAAGAUUUAUGUGUUCACAGAUAGCUAUUAAAAGUUCUAGAUCAGUUAUUUUAUUCUGUCUCUCCAUAGGAAAUUUGAAAUAAAAAUUCAUUUUAAAUGUUUCAAGGCUGUUAUUUUGAAAAACUAUAGAAAACAAGAGUUUUAAACAUCACUGGAAGAAUAUGGGAAAAGAAAGGAAUUGUUCAUUCUCAGCUAAUACUAGAUAGAAAAUGUAGAGAAUUUAAAUGAUGCAGGUAAAACCUCAAGAUGUGAACUCAGCAGUCAUCUACAAAAUAUGGGAUAGAAAUUUUAAGGAAAAUGUAAUAAUUUUUACCAAAAAUAAAUAAGAAAGAGUUGAACAACAGAAGUGAGUCCUGCUCAGAGAUAUGCAGUAAAUGGAUUUUUUUUUUAAUGUUACCAGAGUAGCACUGCAACUAGAGGAUGGGAUUUCCCAGUGUGCCUCAUAGGUAAUGAACCUGACUAGUAUCCCUGCAGAUGAGGGUUUGAUCCCGGCCUUGCUCAGUUUGAUAGGGAUCCGGUGUUGCUCUGAGCGGUGAUGUAGGUCACAGAUGCAGCUUGGAUUCAGCAUUGCUGAAAAAAAAAAAAAAGGAGAAAAAAAAAAUGGUAUGGGUCUAAUGCCUCAUUUAAUGCACAUUAACUCUAUUUCUAUCACUUGUUUGCUGGUACUUCUUUUCUCUUUUUCUAGAUAUUUUUGCCCCAAUAUGCAUAACCUAGCAACUACAGAAGUUAGGGUUCUCCAAUGCAAACUGUUUUAAUAUUUGUGAAUGUCUUCGGUGCUAUGAAGCUGUAGAGGGAGUGACUCCUAGGUGAAUAUACUCUUGUCUAAACUAAGGGAUUCUUUGAGACUCUCCUCUAUUCUUUUGUUCCAUAAAGCUCAUUCAUUUUGGGUUACUUUCUGCCUCUUCAUAUAAACAUUUAUAUGAUUUGGGAUCCAUUUUCUGUUGGAGCUAAGCCUAGUCUAUCUAACACAGGGCUUUUCUAUUUAACUGUUUCACAUUUAGUGCAUAUGUAUUUACUUAGAUUUAUUAAAAAAAAAAUCAACCACUUACCAUACUACCGGGUAAUGGAGUAAAAAAAAUAAAGCACAGCUAAUUCACAUUUAAGACCUAAUUACUUGAAAGUAUUUAUCCAGAGUUUCGCUUAUAGGAUCUACGCAAAUUGAAUUAAGUAAAUGUCUUCUCUGUGUUCUUGCGGUGUUUAUAAUCCAACAAAGAUGCUGCUAAUAGUAAUGAGCUAUAUUUUUUUGAGUGCUUACAUACCUCAGACAUUAUUCUAAGUACUUUGUAUAUGUUAUUUAAACUCACAACAACCCUGUGACUUUGGUACAAUUAUUAUACCAAUCUCACAAAUGAGAGAAUUAUGAUUCGGGGAAAUUAAGUGUCUUUCUCAAAGGCAUAAUCAGGAAAAUAUCAAGCAAGUUUGACCCCAGAGCUUUGGCUCAGAUAUGCCAUCCCAUACUCCAUUUCAUAACAAUGGUCAGCAUUUGCAGAGUAUUUACUAUCUCUUCUCAGGACUGUAUAGGCACUCUUCUCAGUACUACACAAGUAUGACUUCUUCGAUCCUAACCACAGUCCUAUGAAGUUCUAAUAUUAUAAACCCCAUUUCAGAGAUGGGGAAAAUGAGAACAGAAAAAUUAAGUAAUCCCACAAGGCCACAUGAUAGGAACUGGUAGACCCAGGGUUAUAAACAACACAUAUUCUUAAAUCCAAUAGUACCAAAGCACCUCACAGCACCUGGUUUUUGUAAGCAGGGUGUUUAGAUAAGAGAAAUUACAGAGAUAUUUUCAGAUGUUUAUUCUCCUGCCCUUUGACCAGACUAUCUCUCAGGAUGAUGGGAAGGAAAUUGAAUGGAUUAUUUUUGUAUUAUACAUUUAUAAAAACAAAUUAUUUUGGUCAGUUGAGCUAUUUAGCAUUUAUUACAUAUGCUCAGUGUAAUCAAAAGAACAUUAAUUACUGAGUGAGAUUAUCUAAUAAAAUCACAAACACAGGCAAAAAUAAAAGGUCAAAAACUGCCCCUGUAAGAAUGUGAAAAUGUACUAGAAGAAAAGUACUACCAUUGAUGAUUCCAAUGCUUCUUUCUAAAACUGAAUUAUUCGGCUUUAUCAUUUAAAAGUAUAGAGUAUGGAGUUCCCGUCGUGGCGCAGUGGUUAACGAAUCCGACUAGGAACCAUGAGGUUGCGGGUUCGGUCCCUGCCCUUGCUCAGUGGGUUAACGAUCCGGCGUUGCCGUGAGCUGUGGUGUAGGUUGCAGACGCGGCUCGGAUCCCACAUUGCUGUGGCUCUGGCGUAGGCCGGUGGCUACAGCUCCGAUUCGACCCCUAGCCUGGGAACCUCCAUAUGCCACGGGAGCAGCCCAAGAAAUAGCAACAACAACAACAACAACAAAAAAAAGACAAAAAAGACCAAAAAAAAAUAAAAAAAAAAAAAGUAUAGAGUAUAAUGAUAAGCUGUAUAAUAGUGUGCAAGCCUUCAAAGUUAUUUUUUUCUUUUUCCUCGGUAGAACUAAUACUGAAAAAUUUUGGAGGCUACCUAUGACCAAUUUCAGUAUUAUUCAGGAUCAAAGUCAUUGUUUUACUUGUCUGCAUUAACACUAAUUGAAAAGAAAGUAAAUAUAAAUGGAAUUAGGUAGAGAAAAAUACAAACUCAUUCAUAAUAUGUCCAUAAAAUAGUAAACAUUAUAUCUGUAUCAGCUGAAGUUUUAAAAA